GAGGAAUAAGCAUCGGCUAACUCCGUGCCAGCAGCCGCGGUAAUACGGGGGAUGCAAGCGUUAUCCGGAAUCAUUGGGCGUAAAGCGCCUGUAGGUGGUUUAAUAAGUCUGUUGUUAAAGACUAGGGCUUAACCCUAGGAAAGCAAUGGAAACUAAUAGACUAGAGUAUGGCAGGGGUAGAGGGAAUUUCUAGUGUAGCGGUGAAAUGCGUAGAUAUUAGAAAGAACACCAGUGGCGAAAGCGCUCUACUGGACCAUUACUGACACUCAGAGGCGAAAGCUAGGGUAGCAAAAGGGAUUAGAUACCCCUGUAGUCCUAGCCGUAAACGAUGGAUACUAGAUGUUGUGUUUUCUCACAGUGUCGCAGCUAACGCGUUAAGUAUCCCGCCUGGGGAGUACGCUCGCAAGGGUGAAACUCAAAGGAAUUGACGGGGGCCCGCACAAGCGGUGGAGCAUGUGGUUUAAUUCGAUGCAACGCGAAGAACCUUACCAGGGCUUGACAUACUGCAGAUCUUUUUGAGAAAGAAGAGUGCCUUCGGGAAUGCAGAUACAGGUGGUGCAUGGCUGUCGUCAGCUCGUGUCGUGAGGUGUUGGGUUAAGUCCCGCAACGAGCGCAACCCUUAUUUUUAGUUACUAAUUCGUUAGGUUCUCUAGAAAGACUGCCGGUGACAAACCGGAGGAAGGUGAGGAUGACGUCAAGUCAGCAUGCCCCUUAUGUCCUGGGCUACACACGUGCUACAAUGGUUAAGACAAAGAGUCGCGAGCUCGCGAGAGUCAGCUAAUCUCAUAAACUUAGCCUAAGUUCAGAUUGUAGGCUGCAACUCGCCUACAUGAAG
This 835-nucleotide ribosomal RNA is filed under the name Haptophyta environmental samples. RNAcentral's name for it is "bacterial SSU rRNA". It matches the Rfam family "Bacterial small subunit ribosomal RNA", at positions 481 to 1325 of the family's 1533-position model. The record is from RNAcentral. Lineage: Eukaryota; Haptophyta.